Molecule: ribosomal RNA, 342 nt
Filed under: uncultured bacterium
Lineage: Bacteria
Description: bacterial SSU rRNA
Rfam family: Bacterial small subunit ribosomal RNA
Source: RNAcentral
AAUCAACGCUGGCGGCGUGCCUCAGACAUGCAAGUCGAACGAUUAAAGCUCUCUUCGGAGAGUGUAUAGAGUGGCGCACGGGUGAGUAACACGUAAGUAAUCUACCUUUGAGUGGGAAGUAACGGUCGGAACGGCUGCUAAUACCGCAUAACGCAGCGGCACCGCAAGGUGACAGUUGUUAAAGGAGCAAUCCGCUUAAAGAGGAGCUUGCGGCAGAUUAGCUUGUUGGUAAGGUAACGGCUUACCAAGGCUACGAUCUGUAUCCGGUCUAAGAGGACGGUCGGACACACUGACACUGAAUAACGGGUCAGACUCCUACGGGAGGCAGCAGUCGGGAAUUUU